GGGCGGUUAGCUCAGCUGGUAGAGCGUCGGCCUUACAAGCCGAAUGCCACAGGUUCAAGUCCUGUACCGCCCACCA
Molecule: transfer RNA, 76 nt
Filed under: Candidatus Avidesulfovibrio excrementigallinarum
Lineage: Bacteria; Pseudomonadati; Thermodesulfobacteriota; Desulfovibrionia; Desulfovibrionales; Desulfovibrionaceae
Description: tRNA-Val
Rfam family: tRNA
About the family: Transfer RNA (tRNA) molecules are approximately 80 nucleotides in length. Their secondary structure includes four short double-helical elements and three loops (D, anti-codon, and T loops).
Source: RNAcentral